This 496-nucleotide ribosomal RNA is filed under the name uncultured bacterium. RNAcentral's name for it is "partial 16S ribosomal RNA". It matches the Rfam family "Bacterial small subunit ribosomal RNA", at positions 29 to 507 of the family's 1533-position model. The record is from RNAcentral.
AUGAACACUGGCGGCGUGCCUCAUACAUGCAAGUCGCGCGAACAGACGAGGAGCUUGCUCCUCUGACGUUAGCGGCGGACGGGUGAGUAACACGUGGAUAACCUACCUAUAAGACUGGGAUAACUUCGGGAAACCGGAGCUAAUACCGGAUAAUAUAUUGAACCGCAUGGUUCAAUAGUGAAAGACGGUUUUGCUGUCACUUAUAGAUGGAUCCGCGCCGCAUUAGCUAGUUGGUAAGGUAACGGCUUACCAAGGCAACGAUGCGUAGCCGACCUGAGAGGGUGAUCGGCCACACUGGAACUGAGACACGGUCCAGACUCCUACGGGAGGCAGCAGUAGGGAAUCUUCCGCAAUGGGCGAAAGCCUGACGGAGCAACGCCGCGUGAGUGAUGAAGGUCUUCGGAUCGUAAAACUCUGUUAUUAGGGAAGAACAAAUGUGUAAGUAACUAUGCACGUCUUGACGGUACCUAAUCAGAAAGCCACGGCUAACUACGUG